This is an RNA transcript of Coffea eugenioides, 1581 nucleotides long. It is a transcript of the gene named GPN-loop GTPase QQT1, with no coding region annotated. NCBI's taxonomy places the organism in Eukaryota, Viridiplantae, Streptophyta, Magnoliopsida, Gentianales, Rubiaceae. The transcript has 11 exons. The record is from RefSeq and is a predicted model, not a curated record.
AACCCGAAACCCGGAAACUUCUGCUGCUGCUCCUUCUUCUUCCCAUCUCUUUAUUGCUUCAGACUCCACCUUUCUUUCUCCGGUUGUACCCUAUUGGCUUUCAUCCUUUGACACCCUUUCGACAUUAAUCCCUUCAAGUUUCUAUCAAGAAUAGAAAGAGAGCAGAACCCUAAAAAGGCAAAAACGAAAAAAAAAAGAGAAGAAGAUGGUAUUUGGUCAAGUGGUGAUCGGUCCACCUGGCUCAGGCAAGACUACUUACUGCAACGGCAUGUCUCAGUUUCUAAAUCUCAUCGGACGAAAGGUUGCUGUUGUCAAUCUAGAUCCUGCAAAUGAUGCUUUGCCAUAUGAAUGCGCUGUGAAUAUUGAGGAUCUUGUAAAACUUGAAGAUGUUAUGGCUGAGCAUUCUCUUGGUCCGAAUGGAGGUCUUGUUUACUGCAUGGACUAUUUGGAGAAGAAUAUCGACUGGUUGGAAUCCAAAUUGAAGCCGCUUAUUAAAGAUCAUUAUCUUCUGUUUGAUUUCCCUGGUCAAGUGGAGUUAUUUUUCCUCCAUGCGAAUGCAAAAAGAGUCAUCAUGAAACUCAUAAAGAGAUUAAACCUAAGGUUGACUGCAGUGCAUUUGGUUGAUGCUCAUCUUUGUAGUGAUCCUGGGAAGUAUAUCAGUGCGUUGCUUCUGUGCUUAUCGACCAUGGUGCACUUGGAACUUCCUCAUGUUAAUGUCUUGUCUAAGAUUGAUCUAAUUGAAAGCUAUGGAAGGCUAGCUUUCAACCUGGACUUUUAUACAGAUGUACAAGAUUUAUCUUAUUUGCAGCAUCACCUUGAUCAGGAUCCCAGGUCAGCUAAGUACAGAAAACUUACAAAGGAGCUCUGUGAAGUAAUAGAAAGUUAUGGACUAGUCAAUUUCACGACAUUGGAUAUUCAGGACAAAGAAAGUGUGGGUAAUCUAGUGAAGUUGAUUGAUAAGAGCAAUGGUUAUAUUUUUGCUGGCAUAGAAGAAAGCGCUGUUGAGUUUAGCAAGAUUGCAGUUGGCCCUGUUGAUUGGGAUUACUAUAGAGUUGCAGCAGUGCAGGAGAAAUACAUGAAGGAUGAUGAAGAUUUAGAUCUUGGCAACAACAAAGACUGAACCAGUUGAUGCUAGCCUUGACUGAACAUAUGGUAUCCAAGUGUUUCCCUUUUCUUUUCUUAUUUUAGCAUUUGAUGAUGCGAACGCCCUCAAGUGGUGGAUAUGUAGCUUUUGAAUUUUGAAGCUGCUUUAUGCAUCGGUCGAAAAGUUAAACAUCCUAACUUCAGGUGGUGUAGUUGUAGAGUGCAGAGAUCUUUGCAGUCUAUGCACAUUCUGUAUCAAAAGUGUUCUUAGAUGGUGUGAUGCACAAUGCUAGUUUUGCAUGUUACGAAAGCAACAGAAGCUCUUUCAAACCAGAAAUCUCAGAAUUCUGGUGAUCACACAUGGAUUUGCAAACUAGUCUUAACAUGGACCCCCUUGUAUAUGCGGAUUAUGAAGGAUGAAAUAUGUGUAAGAUUUGCACGCAGAGUUGUCCAUCAAAGAAUGGACCACAUAAUAUUCAAAAUCACAAUUCUGAGUUA